GGGGCUCGAGGAGCUAGGGGUGCAAAAGGACCCACUGGGAAAUCAGGAGACAAGGGGUCUUCAGGACAUGAUGGCCCCCCAGGGUCCACAGGAGAGAGAGGUCCACAAGGGCCUCAGGGACGUGUAGGUGAGGUGGGGC
Long non-coding RNA from Carassius auratus (goldfish), 139 nucleotides. RefSeq lists it as uncharacterized. Lineage: Eukaryota; Metazoa; Chordata; Actinopteri; Cypriniformes; Cyprinidae. The record is from RefSeq and is a predicted model, not a curated record. The transcript has 3 exons.